UAGAAGUAACUCACCAUACUCUCCCUACUCCUGGCGAAAAUCAAUCCUUGUUCCCUCCCCAUGGAGCAUGGAACAUAUACAUCAACAAUUCAUGUUCACUCCUUAAAUGGUCAUUCAGAGAAGCAUGUAGCCUGCUGCAAAAAUAUAGUAAAUCCUGUCCAAAGCAACAAUCUCUAAGAUACAACCAUAUCUAGUUCAAAUGCAAUAAAAAAAUUAGUGCUUGUGUUUCCAGCAACAAAUGUUAACAUCUCUAGCUAUAUUACUUUGAAUCGGGAUAUCUGCUAUGGAGUUCAUGAAAUAUAUUUUGCAGAUAAUGGCUCAUCCAAGUUAAGUACAUGUAUAGACAUGAACAAAGCAAUGUAAAGGCCAUACUGUGAUAAUCACAAAUCUUCAGCAUAUCACCUUGAUAAAGUAUUAGUAUAAAACUAUAAAUACUCUAAAGGAACGUCUUUUACUCAAUGAUAAGCAACUCAAUUUCUAUUAAUAACUUAACUGGCAAUAUAACUUGUUCAUAUGCGAUAAAACUUAUCAUUAGAAAUUAGCACAAGCUAUGUAGUCUGUUGCUUGUGUGCUCUCCUAUAUAACUACUUGGUAAACGCACAAGCAGCACAUUUACCUACUCAUCAUGUGAAACUCUGCAGGAAGCUUCACAAAUGCACUCACCUUUCUGAAAAGCAUAGUAGACACCACGAUCCUUUACAGCUACCGGCUCAUCAUGCAAAA
RNAcentral lists this long non-coding RNA (723 nucleotides) under Triticum aestivum (bread wheat). RNAcentral describes it as "long non-coding RNA (TAES_LNC015577)". The record is from RNAcentral. Lineage: Eukaryota; Viridiplantae; Streptophyta; Magnoliopsida; Poales; Poaceae.